UUAAAUUGAAGAGUUUGAUCAUGGCUCAGAUUGAACGCUGGCGGCAGGCCUAACACAUGCAAGUCGAACGGUAACAGGAAGCAGCUUGCUGCUUUGCUGACGAGUGGCGGACGGGUGAGUAAUGUCUGGGAAACUGCCCGAUGGAGGGGGAUAACUACUGGAAACGGUAGCUAAUACCGCAUAACGUCGCAAGACCAAAGAGGGGGACCUUCGGGCCUCUUGCCAUCGGAUGUGCCCAGAUGGGAUUAGCUAGUAGGUGGGGUAACGGCUCACCUAGGCGACGAUCCCUAGCUGGUCUGAGAGGAUGACCAGCCACACUGGAACUGAGACACGGUCCAGACUCCUACGGGAGGCAGCAGUGGGGAAUAUUGCACAAUGGGCGCAAGCCUGAUGCAGCCAUGCCGCGUGUAUGAAGAAGGCCUUCGGGUUGUAAAGUACUUUCAGCGGGGAGGAAGGGAGUAAAGUUAAUACCUUUGCUCAUUGACGUUACCCGCAGAAGAAGCACCGGCUAACUCCGUGCCAGCAGCCGCGGUAAUACGGAGGGUGCAAGCGUUAAUCGGAAUUACUGGGCGUAAAGCGCACGCAGGCGGUUUGUUAAGUCAGAUGUGAAAUCCCCGGGCUCAACCUGGGAACUGCAUCUGAUACUGGCAAGCUUGAGUCUCGUAGAGGGGGUAGAAUUCCAGGUGUAGCGGUGAAAUGCGUAGAGAUCUGGAGGAAUACCGGUGGCGAAGGCGGCCCCCUGGACGAAGACUGACGCUCAGGUGCGAAAGCGUGGGGAGCAAACAGGAUUAGAUACCCUGGUAGUCCACGCCGUAAACGAUGUCGACUUGGAGGUUGUGCCCUUGAGGCGUGGCUUCCGGAGCUAACGCGUUAAGUCGACCGCCUGGGGAGUACGGCCGCAAGGUUAAAACUCAAAUGAAUUGACGGGGGCCCGCACAAGCGGUGGAGCAUGUGGUUUAAUUCGAUGCAACGCGAAGAACCUUACCUGGUCUUGACAUCCACGGAAGUUUUCAGAGAUGAGAAUGUGCCUUCGGGAACCGUGAGACAGGUGCUGCAUGGCUGUCGUCAGCUCGUGUUGUGAAAUGUUGGGUUAAGUCCCGCAACGAGCGCAACCCUUAUCCUUUGUUGCCAGCGGUCCGGCCGGGAACUCAAAGGAGACUGCCAGUGAUAAACUGGAGGAAGGUGGGGAUGACGUCAAGUCAUCAUGGCCCUUACGACCAGGGCUACACACGUGCUACAAUGGCGCAUACAAAGAGAAGCGACCUCGCGAGAGCAAGCGGACCUCAUAAAGUGCGUCGUAGUCCGGAUUGGAGUCUGCAACUCGACUCCAUGAAGUCGGAAUCGCUAGUAAUCGUGGAUCAGAAUGCCACGGUGAAUACGUUCCCGGGCCUUGUACACACCGCCCGUCACACCAUGGGAGUGGGUUGCAAAAGAAGUAGGUAGCUUAACCUUCGGGAGGGCGCUUACCACUUUGUGAUUCAUGACUGGGGUGAAGUCGUAACAAGGUAACCGUAGGGGAACCUGCGGUUGGAUCACCUCCUUACCUUAAAGAAGC
RNAcentral lists this ribosomal RNA (1555 nucleotides) under Escherichia coli. RNAcentral describes it as "bacterial SSU rRNA". It matches the Rfam family "Bacterial small subunit ribosomal RNA". The record is from RNAcentral. Lineage: Bacteria; Pseudomonadati; Pseudomonadota; Gammaproteobacteria; Enterobacterales; Enterobacteriaceae.